AUGAUUCAUGGAUAUCCUGGUUCUCGGUCUCCAUGUUGGCUGCAAAACCCCACUCUCAUUAAUUUGACAUAUGUUUCCAUACGCAAUUGUGAAAGAUUGCAGCAUCUUCCACCUCUUGGUCAGUUACAUUCUCUACAAUAUAUUUACAUAAUUAACUUGGAAUUAGUAGAGGGUGUGGAUUCUUUGUUUUAUGGAAGUGAAAAGCCUUGUGAAUUGCAAUAUCUGAAGGUGCUAGAGAUUGAAAGCAUGCCAAGAUGCCUGGAAUGGGUUGGAUUGGAGGGUAAGAAUGUAUUCCCUAGGCUUGAGAUGCUAAAAGUUCGUGACUGUGAUGCGCUGAGAACAUUGCCAAGUGUACCUACCAGUAUUCGCCAUGUUGAAAUCCAUAAAGCUGGUCUGUUGGCUAUGCCAGAAUAUUUUGGUAGUUCUGAUACAACCUCGUCACCAUCAUUGGACCUAGCUCUCUCUAAGCUCAUGAUUUGA
This 480-nucleotide ribosomal RNA is filed under the name Triticum aestivum (bread wheat). Its description in RNAcentral is "partial small subunit ribosomal RNA". The record is from RNAcentral. Lineage: Eukaryota; Viridiplantae; Streptophyta; Magnoliopsida; Poales; Poaceae.